AGAGUCUGGCUUUGAUAUUUUUAUUUUAGUUGCUAUCUUUUUAUGUAUAUUUUCACAGUGAUAUCUACUUAGGUGAGAGCCUUGCUAGAUGGUACACAAAUACACAGCAGAUAAUAAUGUCUGGCUAAGAGAACUUCAAUACAGAGUUAACUCUUGCAGGUUCUGGAAAAAAAAAAUGAGGCUAAUGGUUUCGACAGGAGUAAAUUUUGUCUUGCAGAGGAAGAUGGUCUGAAGGUACUGGUAACAUCAUUUAAAACAUUACCACAAGUAGGCAAUUCCCUUAAGAAAUCUCAGAGGUUGCUGCAGGUCUACUUUUAAAGAGCUGCUCCUUGGCUAAAAUUUGUGCUUUGCUCAGUGAGGAAAAGAAGAGAAAAAAAUGUUGGGUGCAUGGUAUACUGUGAUUUUCUUGGUACACCCAGUAAAAGAAAGCAUAUAUUCAGCAUACAACAUACCUGUGAAGCUAAGAAAUAAAUCUGCUGCUUUGGAAGUGUAAUAAGGAAAAAUGGCUGAAUAAUGAAGAAAAACUACACAGAACUAAAAGAAGUAUUACACAGUGCAGAAGUUACUAAUGGUAUGCAGAAACUCAUCAACUCAGAUGUAUUGAACCUGAAAGCAUGCAAAAGAAAUGCUCCAUGGAAAAUCUUCAAAUGGUGGGAAGAUGUGGGCAGACAACUGAAAGUGAAAUGUUAUUUGGAGUCUCUUCUGAAGAACUGUAAAGAGACUACUGGAUGAUGAACCAGACAAGUCCUGGACGCUUUUAACUCAGUAGGACAAGAAGUGGAUGUGGAUUCUCCCACAAGAAUGGGUGCAAACAGUGCAGGAAUCCAGAAAAGGACAAGGAAAUUGAUUCUCUUGUUUGGGUUUUUUUUGCACAGAAAUGGCCUUAUCACCAAUGGGAGAAUUUUUGAAGAUUUACCAUCCAGUUGCAAAAAAGGAAAAGAAAAAAAAAAGUUGUGUAGUUAAGUCAGCCAGAAUGAAUUUGAACAGUCAGAUCAACAUAGAGCCUUUCCUGCCAUCCACUGUACAGUAGAGGAGGCCAGUGACCAUUAGUGACACCUUUUCACAAACUGAAGCAGCCUUGGUUUAAUCAUUAAUAAAGCAGUGAUAAAUUUCUUCCAAUGAAAGAUAGUAACUUUUGUUUUGAGCUUGGACACAUGCUAAUUUGAGCAAAUGGCUACAUGUUGAAAGAAAGGCGGGGGGAAGCAGCAAAAAUGUUAGAAAACUAAUCAUCACCAUCAGCGAAUAGGUACAAUUGCUUGCAGAUGUUCAGAUACUUCACCGCUGAACUCCAAAGGCAGUGGAAAAAGAUACCAAUCCUAUACCAGCAAGUUCCUGUCACAGAAGACUGAUACAAUUUGUUCCCUCUUGAGACUUGAGAAAUGUAAUCACACAUGGAAAUCUCCUUUGCAAAGGCAAGCCACACGGGUGUGAAGAGAAGAAGAAAAUGGAACAGAGAGAAUUUUCCUGGUCAGGUUGUGUGAAUGUGACUUUUGAGAUGUCAUUGACAAAGUAUUUCACCUGGGACUAAGAGUUCAUAGAAGUUUCUGUGAUAUUUGGUUUAAAAUCAGGCUCUCUGCUUAACAGGAAUUUAUUUUUCUUGUUUGUUUGUUUCUGUCCGGUUAUUUAGACUAGAUACUGCUGAGAAAGAACGGUCGUGUAGUGCACAAGAUCACACUCUCAUCCAGGCACCAGGACAUGUUUUUGAGUGCCACCUGCUGGCUUUUUGUCUGUUAGCCGUUCACAGGCGCAGACGGUUUUCUGAAGGUGGAUGGUCUGUUGUGUCAGGUGCUAGCUCCUGAAUGUAGCCUUAGAGAGUACGGUUCUCAUGCCUGUCGGCUGUCUUGGGGAGAUGGAGACUGAAAGACAGCUACGUUUGUGUUCCAAGGCUUUCCUGGUAUCCAUCUUUCACUGAAUAAAACUCUGGGUACUGCUGCUCAUCUGCUUGUCUUUGCUCUUCUGUUCUACGAGGAAUAAGAGGAAG
Molecule: RNA transcript, 1981 nt
Organism: Strigops habroptila (Kakapo)
Lineage: Eukaryota; Metazoa; Chordata; Aves; Psittaciformes; Psittacidae
Exons: 9
Source: RefSeq, a predicted model, not a curated record